CCUACGGGAGGCAGCAGUCGAGAAUCAUUCACAAUGGGGGAAACCCUGAUGGUGCGACGCCGCGUGGGGGAAUGAAGGUCUUCGGAUUGUAAACCCCUGUCAUGUGGGAGCAAAUUAAAAAGAUAGUACCACAAGAGGAAGAGACGGCUAACUCUGUGCCAGCAGCCGCGGUAAUACAGCGGUCUCAAGCGUUGUUCGGAAGCACUGGGCGUAAGGCGUGCGUAGGCUGUUGCGUAAGUCGUGUGUGAAAGGCGCGGGCUCAACCCGCGGACGGCACCUGAUACUGCGAGGCGAGAGUAGUGGAGGGGGAGGCGGAAUUCUCGGUGUAGCGGUGAAAUGCGUAGAUAUCGAGAGGAACACUCGUGGCGAAGGCGGGUUGCUGGACAUUAACUGACGCUGAGGCACGAAGGCCAGGGGAGCGAAAGGGAUUAGAUACCCUUGUAGUC
Molecule: ribosomal RNA, 446 nt
Filed under: uncultured bacterium
Lineage: Bacteria
Description: partial 16S ribosomal RNA
Rfam family: Bacterial small subunit ribosomal RNA
Source: RNAcentral